Molecule: long non-coding RNA, 434 nt
Organism: Pongo pygmaeus (Bornean orangutan)
Lineage: Eukaryota; Metazoa; Chordata; Mammalia; Primates; Hominidae
Exons: 3
Source: RefSeq, a predicted model, not a curated record
GUAAGAUGUCCUUGCGUCCUCUUCACCAUAAGCCAUGAUUAUAAGUUUCCUGAGGCCUCCCAGUGAUGCUUCCUCUUAAGCCUGUGGAACUAUGGCGUAAUAUCAGGACAUCAGGAAGUCAGGUUUAUCUUGAAGGCAUCUUGGAUAAGGUUUCAGGAGCUGAAAAGGGUCUGGAUUUUACCCUACUUGAAAGCUAACAGCUUUUCACAGUUUCAUGGAUGCUGACAGAAGACAGGAUUUCUGAAUCAGAGAAAGGUGGUGCAGUAGUCCCCUCUUAUCUGCGGAAAAUACUUUUCAAGAUGCCCAGUGGAUGCCUAAAAUCACAGAUAGUACCAAACUCUACCUAUGCUAUGUUUUCUCCUAUACAUACAUACCUAUGGUAAAGUUGAAGUUAUAAAUUAGGCACAGUAAGAGAUUAAUAACAAUAACUAAUA